CAGAGGCAGAGCUCGGGGGACAUCCACCAUGGCCUGGACCCCUCUCCUGCUGCCCCUCCUCACUCUCUGCACAGGUCACCUGGCUUCUUCUCAGCUGACUCAGCCGCCUGCGGUGUCCGUGUCCUUGGGACAGACGGCCAGCAUCACCUGCCAGGGAGACGACUUAGCAUUUCUUAGUGCUAACUGGUACCAGCUGAAGCCGGGCCAGGCCCCUGUGACAGUCAUUUAUGGUGGUAGCGACCGGGCCUCAGGGAUCCCUGACCGGUUCUCUGGCUCCAAAUCAGACACCACGGCCACCCUGACCAUCCGCGGGGCCCAGGCCGAGGACGAGGCCGACUAUUACUGUCAGUCAGGUGGUAUCGAUGUUGAUGCUCACAGUGACACAGACAGACGGGGAAGUGAGACACAAACCCUCCCGUCCUGCUCACGCUCUCCUCCAGCCCCGGGAGGACCGUGGACACCACAGGGACAGGCCUGGCCCAGUACCUUCAGAGCUGAGCCCCCAGGCAGCCCCUCCUCCCGGCCCUUCAGCAGGCUCUGCACAGGGGGUCAGGAAUGGAUUUAGGGCUCCCAGGACCAGGCUCCAUGGUGUUUUCUUGACAAUGUGUGAAAUGUAGAGCUCCGGUCUCAUUUAAAGUCAGCAAAGACAUA
This is a non-coding RNA of Capra hircus (goat), 651 nucleotides long. The record is from the annotation of a RefSeq genome assembly. Lineage: Eukaryota; Metazoa; Chordata; Mammalia; Artiodactyla; Bovidae.